This 86-nucleotide transfer RNA is filed under the name Kiritimatiellia bacterium. Its description in RNAcentral is "Kiritimatiellae bacterium tRNA-Leu". It matches the Rfam family "tRNA". From Rfam's summary of the family: Transfer RNA (tRNA) molecules are approximately 80 nucleotides in length. Lineage: Bacteria; Pseudomonadati; Kiritimatiellota; Kiritimatiellia. The record is from RNAcentral.
GCCCGGGUGGUGGAAUGGCAGACACAAGGGACUUAAAAUCCCUUGACCGCAAGGUCGUGCGGGUUCGACCCCCGCCCCGGGCACCA